UGAAGCUGUGUUAAGGUAAGCAACCGGACACCCGUUAGUUUUUCGUAAGAUAAUUUAGAAAAAUAUUCCGAUUGUAUGAAAAUCUUAUUUUGUAGAUUUUAAAAAUUAAGGGUUAAGCAUAUUAUUAAAUAUUUCUGUAAAUUGAGCUUCAACUAUGAUUGACAAGUUCGUUUAGCAAAAAGAAUUUUUGAAACCUGAUAAUUUGUUUUGUAAAUUAGUGACUGGAUACAUUUUGAAUU
Molecule: long non-coding RNA, 239 nt
Filed under: Ananas comosus (pineapple)
Lineage: Eukaryota; Viridiplantae; Streptophyta; Magnoliopsida; Poales; Bromeliaceae
Description: long non-coding RNA (ACOM_LNC043375)
Source: RNAcentral